This 253-nucleotide ribosomal RNA is filed under the name uncultured bacterium. RNAcentral's name for it is "partial 16S ribosomal RNA". The stretch from base 27 to 253 matches the Rfam family "Bacterial small subunit ribosomal RNA", at positions 550 to 776 of the family's 1533-position model. The record is from RNAcentral.
UACCGGCACCCCGAGUGGUCGGGACGUUUAUUGGGCCUAAAGCAUCCGUAGCCGGUUCUACAAGUCUUCCGUUAAAUCCACCUGCUUAACAGAUGGGCUGCGGAAGAUACUAUAGAGUUAGGAGGCGGGAGAGGCAAGCGGUACUCGAUGGGUAGGGGUAAAAUCCGUAGAUAUUCGAAGGAACACCGGUGGCGAAGGCGGCUAUCUGGACCGAUACUGACGCUGAGACGCGAAAGCGUGGGGAGCAAACAGG